GGGGAUGACAGGUAUAGACAGGUAGGAUCUUUGACAAUGCGCAUGGUAGAGCUGUAUUAACUCUUUAAACUGGUACAAAGCAUAGAUGCUAAAGACACCUUUGCAAAAGCAGUUCGUUCUCCAUUUAUGGCGAACGGAUUCGCUCUCGCUUACGCUUAAAACUUUUUAGUUUUAACCUAAGUGGCGGUCACUCCCCUAAGUCUGUUACGGGAAUUGAUUGAUAUAUCUUCGGACUAGGAUUUGUUUUAGUUUCGAGACAAAUCCAAAAAAAAAGAAAACUGAAAUGCAACUUAUUUUGUUUAUUUAAAGAGUUGUGUUUGAGAAAAUAAAAUAAACUAAACCAUGUAGACCCAUUAUCAAAACUUAUUUGCACCCGGCUUCAAUGCCGGCUUCUCCACAG
This 400-nucleotide transfer-messenger RNA is filed under the name Minisyncoccia. RNAcentral's name for it is "C7867-006 sp001189155 X1 Standard tmRNA". It matches the Rfam family "transfer-messenger RNA". Rfam says of the family: Bacterial tmRNA, also known as 10Sa RNA or SsrA, is named for its dual tRNA and mRNA-like properties. Its role is to liberate the mRNA from a stalled ribosome. To accomplish this part of the tmRNA is used as a reading frame that ends in a translation stop signal. Lineage: Bacteria; Bacillati; Minisyncoccota. The record is from RNAcentral.